Molecule: RNA transcript, 1498 nt
Organism: Myotis myotis
Lineage: Eukaryota; Metazoa; Chordata; Mammalia; Chiroptera; Vespertilionidae
Gene name: sulfotransferase 1A1
Exons: 8
Source: RefSeq, a predicted model, not a curated record
GCUGCCCCUGACCUGAACCUUUGGUCCUCAGACUGGCCUGGGGCCACCUUUCCCCUCCACUCCUCUGUCCUCUGGAGAUCACGUUUAUUAGAAAAAGCUGUUGGCUCCUGCAGAGCUGGAGUUUGGAGUACAAGCCAGAAGCUGGGAUUACAGCUCAAAAAAAAAAAGAAGCUAUUAGGCCCUUUGGUGUUGCUUCUGUCUUUUAUUUUCUACACACUGAACACACAUCUUGGGUUUUCAGGCCAGUCUAAUCUUGGCUUCAGCGGGGGUGCUAAUGAGGGUAGCGAAGGGGCCCUCCCACCCCAAACCCCACCCAUUCCUGUAAGACAGCCAAGGCCCAGUGCUGGCUCCAAAUCCCUCCCACUUUGGACUUAUAAAACUUGCAGCUCUCUGCAGUUCUGCACUCACAUAUGUGACGGCACAACAGAGUGCCACAAGGCCAAGGUCUGGAGAGGUCAGGGAGGUCGGCCCCAGUGCGCACCCUGACUCGGCAGCAUGGAGCUGGUCCAGGACAUCUCCCGCCCGCCACUGAAGUAUGUGAAGGGGGUGCCUCUCAUCAAAUACUUUGCAGAGGCAAUUGGGCCACUGCAGAGCUUACAACCCAGGCCCGAUGACCUGCUCAUCAGCACCUACCCCAAAUCUGGCACCACCUGGGUGAGUGAGAUCCUGGACAUGAUCUACCAGGAUGGCGACUUGGAGAAGUGUCAGAGGGCUCCCAUCUUAACCCGGGUGCCCUUCCUUGAGUUCAAGGGUCCAGGGUGUCCCACAGGUAUGGAGGUUCUGAAAGAUACACCAGCCCCACGGCUCCUCAAGACACACUUGCCCCUGGCUCUGCUCCCACAGGCCCUGCUGGACCAGAAGAUUAAGGUGAUCUACGUUGCCCGGAACGCCAAGGAUGUGGCCGUCUCCUAUUACCACUUUUACCGCAUGGCCAAGGUGCACCCUGAGCCCGGCACCUGGGAGAGCUUCCUGGAGAAGUUCAUGGCUGGGGAAGUGUCCUAUGGGUCCUGGUACCAGCACGUGCGGGAGUGGUGGGAGCUGAGGCGCACCCACCCUGUUCUCUACCUCUUCUACGAGGACAUGCAGGAGCCUCCACUGAAGAGCCCCCCUGCUGCUCCAGAACCCCAAAAGGGAGAUUCGGAAGAUUCUGGAGUUCGUGGGCCGCCCCCUGUCAGAGGAGACGGUGGAUCACAUUGUGCGGCACACGUCGUUCAAGGAGAUGAAGAAGAACCCCAUGGCUAACUACAGCACCAUACCCGUGGAGCUCAUGGACCACAACAUUUCCGCCUUCAUGAGGAAAGGCAUCACGGGGGACUGGAAAACCAUGUUCACUGUGGCCCAGAAUGAGCGCUUUGAUGCCCACUACGCUGAGAAGAUGGCAGGCUGCAACCUCAAGUUCCACACAGAGCUGUGAGUGGUGUUCAUGGGACCGCUCCCCAGGGAGUGUGUGCGAGGGGCCCGACAGGGGCCUCAAGAAUAAAGUACAGCUUGUGCUGCA